Molecule: ribosomal RNA, 372 nt
Filed under: uncultured organism
Description: partial 16S ribosomal RNA
Rfam family: Bacterial small subunit ribosomal RNA
Source: RNAcentral
AGAGGGGUGCGAGCGUUAAUCGGAAUUACUGGGCGUAAAGGGUGCGUAGGUUGAUAUUCAAGUUGGGGUGUGAAAGCCCCGGGCUUAACCUGGGACGGCCAUUCAAAACUGGGUAUCUAGAGUACAGUAGAGGAUAGUGGAAUUUUCGGUGUAGCGGUGAAAUGCGUAGAUAUCGAAAGGAACAUCAAUGGCGAAGGCAGCUAUCUGGGCUGAUACUGACACUGAGGCACGAAAGCGUGGGUAGCAAACAGGAUUAGAUACCCUGGUAGUCCACGCCGUAAACGAUGAAAACUAGCCGUUGGGCAUUUUAAAUGUUUAGUGGCGCAGCUAACGCGUUAAGUUUUCCGCCUGGGGAGUACGGCCGCAAGGUUA